CGCCUCUUGUUUAAUUAUCAGGAUCCCUGCCUGACAAGUGAUAUAAUUCUUCGGCCGCGGUCCCCUCUCCGUGCGAAGGUCGCAUAUUCACUUGUUCUUUAAAUAUGGUCUUGUAUCAACGGCAUCACGAGGGCUGCACUGUCUCCUAUCUCCAAUCAGUGAAACUGAUCUCCCCGUGAAGAAGCGGGGAUUAACCUAUAAGACGAGAAGACCCCAUGGAGCUUAAAGCCCACACAACUCUAUGCACUUAAAUCAAUAUAGCCCAAGAAACCUAGCAAACGGCUUUAGGUUGGGGGGACCGCGGAGUAAAACCUAAACCUCCACGACAAACGGGCAUACGCCCUUAUACAAGAAUGACAAUUCUAAGAAUCAAUAAACUGAUGUUUAAUGACCCGAUUAUUCGAUCAACGAACCAAGUUACCCUAGGGAUAACAGCGCAAUCUACUACAAGAGACACUAUCAACAAGUAGGUUUACGACCUCGAUGUUGGAUCAGGGUAUCCUAGUGGUGCAGCCGCUACUAAAGGUUCGAUUGUUCAACGAUUAAAACCCU
Molecule: ribosomal RNA, 552 nt
Filed under: Amolops hongkongensis (Hong Kong sucker frog)
Lineage: Eukaryota; Metazoa; Chordata; Amphibia; Anura; Ranidae
Description: partial 16S ribosomal RNA
Rfam family: Bacterial large subunit ribosomal RNA
Source: RNAcentral